Hemicordylus capensis (graceful crag lizard) is the source of this 7334-nucleotide RNA transcript. It is a transcript of the gene named zygote arrest 1 like, with no coding region annotated. Lineage: Eukaryota; Metazoa; Chordata; Lepidosauria; Squamata; Cordylidae. The record is from RefSeq and is a predicted model, not a curated record. The transcript is spliced from 5 exons.
UGGAGGCCAAUCAGCUAAAACCGUCUCCCCUCCCCACCCCCAGGCCAUGGAGCGCUUUGUCUACCCUCCCUACAGCGUGUACCAGGGCUAUGGGAGCACCUUCACCCCCAGCCACAACGUGGCCCCAAGGCCACCCUCCAAGCAGAAGCAGCCUAGCUGGAAGCAGAGCAAGAGCACCCCCAACCCCUACCGAGGGGUCCAGUCGGCCCCUUCGUCAGCCCCGUCGCUGGCCUCGCCGGACUAUCUGGACACCUACAAGCGGGCGCAGCUGAAAGCGCUGCUCUCGCAGGUCAGCCCAGGCCUCACCCCGCGGCUCCGCAAAGCCAACACCAAAGAGAUUGGCGUGCAGGUGAACCCGCGGGUGGACGCCGCCGUGCAGUGCUCGCUCGGCUCCCGCCCGCUCCAAGCCGUUCGGCCCCAAAGCCCCUCCGGGCGCUUCAGCCGGGAGCCGCCGCUGCCGGCCGUCUACUCGCCCGUCUUGGGCCGCCGCCUCUUCACCUUGCCCGAAGCGGUGGUGGAACCCAAGGAGCCGCAGGGCGAAGCGCCCGCGUCGAAACAGUCACUCGCCGAAGAGGAGGAGGAGGAAGAAGCGGCGGCUGAAGACGAGGAGCUGCCGAAGAGCACAGAGGAAAAGUCUGCCCAGCUGCAGGGCGAAGCAGCAGAGGGCGGCGGCGGAGGCGGCGUCGCCGCUGGGGAGAGCAAAACCACUUUCCAGUUCCUGGAACAGAAAUAUGGUUACUUUCACUGCAAUGACUGCAAGACCAGAUGGGAAAGUGCUUAUGUAUGGUGCAUUUCUGGAACUAAUAAGGUUUACUUUAAACAGCUUUGUCGUAAAUGCCAAAAGAGCUUCAAUCCUUACAAAGUGGAAGCAAUUCAGUGCCAAAGGCAUGCAAAGAGGAAGUAGGCCCAAUGAUGCUUCUACAUACAACAUACAAGCAUACCAUACCAUUCAAUGAUGCCUUCAGCUGCUUGACUUUACUUUUACUUAUUAAGGUUCUAGUAACAGAGAACGAAGGAGCAAAUCCCUGAGGAAGAGCACACUACAGUGGAUGGAAAGGAACUGAGGAAAACAGCGCUGUGGUGCCAAAGAUACAGAGCGAGCUCCACUCAUGAAGGGAGUGGCUACAGAAUGCUUCAAGGAGCUGACAAAUCCUUCUGCAGUGGCUACUGUGCAGGUGCAGAGUCCAAUGUUGGGAAUGAUUCCGGACUACCGCAAAGGUCUACUGGUUUCAGUUAAAUAAUGAAAGGCUAUAAAUAGUUUGGUGAUAGUAUUUUAGGAUUAUCCUGGAGUUCUUCUAUGAGAAUCUUCUAUGGAAAUACUUAUACUGAGGGAUCCAAACAAAAUGGCUUGGUGAGUUAUACAAGUGCCAGAUAUGAGAGAAACACACAUGUUGCUCUUAAAGUUCUUAGUCUGAAUCUGAAAGAUGCUAGGGUGUGCCUUCCGCUGGAUUCAAAGUUUAUACUUCAGGUAAUGUUUCAGAGCAGAAAAACAGGUUGCUUACCUGUAACAGGUGAUGUGGUAGUGAUGCCUCAAUAUUCAUAAAAAUGGGUUCUGCGCCUGCGCAGGACAACUUUAGGUAAUAUUGAUUAGCUCCUUGCGACGCCUUUUAACUGCCUCUGCACAAGCCGUGCAGUACCUAUACUGGCAGUUAGGUGUCUUUUGCUCAGUUUCUGAAUGGCCGUCCGACUGUAUAAAAUGCCAUUGUCAUCCAUAGGUGCUGUUAGCUGGUGUCCGUGUAAAUGUAACAUCUCAGUCAUUCGCAAUCUGUAGAAAUGCAAUGUCUCAAUCACUUGCACUCUGUAGCGGGGCCGGCUGGGAGGGUUUUAUGAAUGUCAAGGCAUCACUACCAGAUCACCUGUUACAGGUAAGCAACCUGUUUAUCUGGAUAGUGAAGCCUCGACAGACAUAAAAAUGGGUGAAUCAUGAGCUGUCCCAGUGGAGGUGGGCAUUGCAAGCUAUUGAAGCACCCUCUUAAGAACGGCCCUGCCAAACUGUGCUGCCUCUACAGAGCGAAGGUCCUGUGCAUAAUUUUUCACAAAGGUUUGGUCCGAGGCCCAGGUGGCCACCAUACAUAUAUCCUUGAAUUUAAUUCCUGAAAGAUGAGCUGCCCUUAGGCAGCAUGCGCCCUUGUUGAAUGGGCUCUAAUAGUGGAUGGUGGAGUGACUCCCUGAAUAUCAUAGGCCAUCUUAAUGAGUUCCACUAACCCAAAGGACAGCUUUUGGUGGGAUGGCUGAAAGCCACGGUUCUUCCCAUUCAAGGCAAUGAAAAAAUGUCUUGUCUUUCUCAACUCUCCCGUUCUUUGCAGGUAGAAAAGGAUGGCCCUCUGCACUUCAGCGGCUCAGUUUGCAGCCCCAACAGAAAUGGAGUGGUAGGCUGUGAUGCCGGAGUCGCCUUAUGUUUUUUCUUUACUGCAUGAGUUGACGGUGAAGAGCACGGGCGCUUCGAGCCGCCGCUUUUUGGUACCGAGGGCUCCUUGAAUAGGCUCGACUUCGAAGCCUUAAGGGAGGUCCCUGCAGCACUAUGAGCCAUGCUCGAGGGUUUAGACUGCGUAUGAGCAGCCCUCGGCAGGGAGGAUGAGGUAGAUGGGCGGAGCGCGUCCUCCAUUAAUGAAACUUUCAGUUGUGCCACCCUGUUCUUCAGAGUCUGUCUCAAAAAUGCCUUACAUAUAGGGCAAGCAGCCAUGGAGUGUUCCUCUUCCAGGCAGAGGAGACAAAGCUGAUGACCAUCCGUUGAGGGGAGCUUAGCCCUGCAGCGAAUACACCACUUAAAGGUGUUUUUCCCCUCAUAGACGCACUCAUGGGCAAAGGAAUCAGUGGCUGUCAGGGUUUAUUCCUUUAUUAUUACUUGUGGCCGUCGCAACAGGGGGAAGUAGGAACACCAUUCAGUGCCACGGUCUUUUGACAAUAUGGGACUGAGCUAGAAACGUUUGAAUUGAAGAGAGCUGGUCUUGUGGCAGCAAGCAUGACUUGUCCCCUUAAGCUAAGCAGGAUCCACCCUAGUUGCAUAUGAAAGGGAGACUAGAAGUGUGAGCACUAUAACAUAUUCCCCUUCGGGGAUGGAGCCGCUCUGGGAAGAGCAGAAGGUUCCAAGUUCCUUCCUUGGCUUCUCCAAGAUAGGGCUGAGAGAGAUUCCUGCCUGCAGCCUUGGAGAAGCCACUGCCAGUCUGUGUAGACAAUACUGAGCAAGAUGGACCUAUGGUUUGACUCAGUAUAUGGCAUCAUCCUAUGUUCCUAUGAAUUUGCCAUUCGUUGCUUGUCGUUCCGAGGUCUAUCCGCGUAUCCGUUAAAAUUAACUAUGUCCAUUCAGGGUUAAGCAAAGAAUGGUUGGGCUGUCCUAAGAUCGUAUACCAAGUUAAACAACAAAAUAUCUUCCGAGGAGCAACGACGUUUCCGAGGUCCGAACACAUCGACGGUCAGAAAGAAACUGAGCAACAGACACCUAACUGCCAGUAUAGGUACUGCACGGCUCGUGCAGAGGCAGUUAAAAGGCAUCGCGAGGAAAUAAUCAAUAUUCCCCGAAGUUAUCCUGAGCAGGCGCAGAACCCAUUUUUAUGUCUGUUGAGGCUUCACUAUCCAGAUCUGAAUUCUAAAGCAAGGAGGGUCUUUAUUCUUUAGUCUCUAGUGGGCAUGGGUGUGGUUCAGGAGCCAGAAGUGUAUUGGGUAACCAAAACUUACACCCUCACUGUUGACCACGUUCGGCAACAAAGUUAGCACCCUCUAGCAGUAAGGAGCAUGUGUGCUUAGUCACAAUAUUACAUAAAAUUGUACAUUUAUAGUAAAUACAGAAUCAAAAAGAUAAAAGUAUAGACUCUCUUGAAAAUUCUUCUAUUACAAGUCAAAUAUUGGGCAUUUUUCUUAGCCAUAUCUUUAUUCCAUUUUGGAAGGGCAGCUAGGUGGCAUAUUUUGGCUAUUGUGGCUGUAUGCAGAAAUUUAGCAUGAAGGCUAUAGCUCAAUUGGUGGAUGUGAUUAAGAUGGAUCAUCUUUUAUAGUGCAACGGACAGGAUUAGGCAGUGUGAAUCAUUCUCUUUUGACUUCGUGUACAGGCACUUAUCAGCAUGUCAGCAUUCACCAUAGUAAUGUAACUAAGGUGGGACGUUAAUGGCUCCGAUCAGGAAUAAUGAUUGUAUUCACAUAUAACGUGAAACCAGAGGAUGGUGAACCCGCAGUUUCAAUUUUAAACAGUAAAUUGCAUCACAGACAUUGGUUCAACCAGAGUCCAGCAACCUCUGGUUAAAGGAGUGGGGAGCCCCCCCAGCUGUCCAGCAAGCUCUGCGGCCAGACUGUGGGCAAAACAUCAGCAUGUCAGCAGAGCGGCCGCAGUUGGCCACAACCUUGAAGGGGUGUGCUGAGCUCAAUCAUGCAUUUUUGGAGUGGCCUGCCUGUCCUAGGCAUGGGGAGGGCAUUUAAAUACCAUGACAUGCCAGUGCUGCUUCUGACAGUAAUGGCACCGUUGCCCUUGUAAAAGCCCUGCAUCAGAAUAGUGCUGCACAAGCAUGAUUUGGGGGGUGGGGGGCACUAUUUCCCUUUUACUCAAGGAAAGGAAAAUGAAGAGUUCCUAGGAAAGCAUAAGUAUAUGAGAGAGGGCAAAGGAUCCUGGGGCAUCCAUCCCACUGUGAUCUAGGAUGCUUUUUUGAGGGAUCACCCCAGCAAAGCAGUGCAUACAGACUAAAUCACACUCCUGCUCCCCUUGCAGCUUAGUGCUAGUGGAUUAUUUCUCCCAUGAGAGGGCCAGUCUACUGGUGAGGACCAUGGGGGGGGGGUUGGGUCUUCCAUCGGACUGCACACUCACAAAUUGAACUAACUCAACAAAGGGGCCCCAUUUGUGUGGGGCCCACACUCUCUCGGGUAAAAGAAAGCACUUUUGCACUGCAACUCCCUCAUACUGGAAGCAGUAAUGGGCUGGAUGAGGGAUAACGAACUGAGACUGAAUCCAGACAAGAUGGAGGUACUUAUUGUGUGGGGUCGUCACUCGGGAAGCGAUAUUGAUCUACCUGUUCUAGAUGGGGUCACACUUCCUCAGAAGGAACAGGUACUCAGUCUGGGAGUGCUUCUGGAUCCACAUCUUUCCCUGGUUCCCCAGGUUGAGGCAGUGGCCAGAAGCGCUUUCUAUCAGCUUCGGUUGAUACGCCAACUGCAUCCGUUUCUUGAGGUUCAUGACCUCAAAACCGUUGGGGCUCUAUAUUGAGCCAGGUACCCUGACAACAUCUCUCCUUGUCUUGGUGAUUGCUGUCAAAGCACGUCUCCUGCCAUCCCAUGUAUACAUGUGCAUCUAUGCUCAAGCCCCAAAACUGUGACCCUGCUUUUCUAGGAUCGCUUGAAAGCAACAUUCCCCUCUCCUGUGAUUCCCCGCAGUGGCAGAUCUGCAGAUGGCGCAAUGCCAGACCAAACACAGGAAUUUUGAAUGGGAGUAAAGAGAUGUCCCCCUACCCAGUGUUCACCACCCCCAUUGGCACACGCGGCCAGGCUCUCCACCAAAUGGAACAUCAAAAAUCACCUAUGGGGGCAUGCUAGGCAUGUGCAUGAACUGGUUCGGCGGUCUUUUACAGACUACCUAACCAGUUCGGAGGUCUGGCUUUUGGGGCAGUUCAGCUGCGGGGAGGGGUUACCUUUAAGGAGCCUGACACUCUUGUGAGAGAGAGCUGUCUGUGGGGUAACAGGGUUGUUUUGUCAUCAUUAGAGAUUUUACCUGACACCCCAAUCCCCAAAAACUGUUCUUCUCAUGAGUUGUGAGGGGGCAUCCCCACGGCCUGGCACUCUCUUGAGCUAGCAUGGUCCAUCCUGGGUCAGCAUCUACCAUCAUCACACAUUGAAUCUUUCCUUUCACUGCAACAAUGCUGAUUCUGAUUCCUUAGGCUCAACCCUCAAGAGAGCCUAAGGAGUGCAAAUGUUCUCAAUGGGGAAGGGGCUGGGGGCUGGGCCCCCCUUCCCCAACAUUUAUGUUUAAAAAAAGAAAGAAAAGAAAUUGGUUGCUCAAGAAUCCCUGGUUUGUGCUGCCUUUUAAACCUGAUCACGGGCACCCACAGCCAUAUGUCCAUGUUCUGGUGCUGUGAUGGGGUGACCUACUUAUAGGAUGACCACCUGGAGUGUUUGUGCUUGUGGACAUUGUCACUUUAUUCUCAGUGAGCGAAGCACUUUGAUAUCUGCCCUGUCAUUCCAUCCCUGUUUCCUCCUGCUUGCCAGGAGGGAGGACAAGGGACAGAGUAAGAAGGGGGAAUAUCCCUGUGUGACUUUGCUGCUUGACAGGCUGACAAGCUUGGGAUGGGAUGUGGCAGCUUUUCUGUUGCUGGGCAACUGCAUUGCUGGAUAGGUGACAGGAGAGGUGGGGCUGGCACUCAGAAAGGUGGCCAGUGAGAAGGACCGCAGGCAUGGAGUGGGCAUCAUGCUGGGUAGGUUGCAGUUUCCAAAACAGAACAAAACUGCGGUUAUGGCUACAUCCAGGUUCAGACUUAAUGCUUCAGCAGCCAAACCGGAAAUCUCAGUAGCAAGCCUUUGUGCAAACCGAAGGGUCAAAUAGGAGUUUUUGCCAAACUGCAGGUUGCUUUCGGCUCAAAACCGUGCACAAAUUCAGACAUAAUGGAGUUCCAAACUCUGCCCCAUUCGACUCUGGUUUCAUAUUACGUCUGAAUUCAGCCAGCAUGUGUAAGUAACCUUUUAAAGAAAGCUGAAACCCCAGCUUUUGGUAGCUUUUGCUUUUGUCCCUCCUCUUCUUCUUUGACAGCCAAUUAGUAGCCUUUCAGCAUUUGGUAAAAGGUUUAUAUGCAUGCAACCUCUGACUGGGAAGGGAACACAGUUGCAUACUAUUUCCCAUCCAGCUAAAGAUGUGCCCUUGGAAAUCUGAUUCUGAAUUCACACAUAUAUAAUUGCCAGCUGGGUAGGGGCAAAUGAGAGUAGAUUAAUAGAACUGUUUCUGGAGCUUUUAUCAAAACAGACACAAAACUAAUAUAUCUGAUUUUGGAGUGCGCACUGAACAUGUAAGCAGGAUUGACUGCUGCAUGCGGAUUCAAAAACAACUGAAAAAAGACCCCUCCCCCCAUGGGCUCUAUAUGCUUUGUACAGUAGUAAUAACUCAUUUCAGACCAAUCAGCACAUACGCAGUCAUAUUUACAUAUAUAUAUGUAUAUAUAUUAUAAUAACCUUUAUAUUUUAGUUAGAUGAUCCUGUUCUGAUCAAAAUACCAACCAAGAGGUACUUCACAAAAACCUUAAGUGUAUUUACAGAGUGAAUCAGAGAUGUAGACAGUGCCUGAAUAAAAGUGUCUCAGAUGUGCAAAAGAUUUACAUGCACCCAUUUAACACUUGACAGCAGUAACUGUAAGGGGGGAAAUGCAAGGGGGG